CUACGGACUUAAAAUCCGUCGACUUUUAAAAUCGUGAGGGUUCAAGUCCCUCUAUCCCCC
RNAcentral lists this transfer RNA (60 nucleotides) under Euphrasia borneensis. RNAcentral describes it as "partial tRNA-Leu". It matches the Rfam family "tRNA", at positions 24 to 71 of the family's 71-position model. From Rfam's summary of the family: Transfer RNA (tRNA) molecules are approximately 80 nucleotides in length. Their secondary structure includes four short double-helical elements and three loops (D, anti-codon, and T loops). Further hydrogen bonds mediate the characteristic L-shaped molecular structure. tRNAs have two regions of fundamental functional importance: the anti-codon, which is responsible for specific mRNA codon recognition, and the 3' end, to which the tRNAs corresponding amino acid is attached (by aminoacyl-tRNA synthetases). tRNAs cope with the degeneracy of the genetic code in two manners: having more than one tRNA (with a specific anti-codon) for a particular amino acid; and 'wobble' base-pairing, i.e. permitting non-standard base-pairing at the 3rd anti-codon position. Lineage: Eukaryota; Viridiplantae; Streptophyta; Magnoliopsida; Lamiales; Orobanchaceae. The record is from RNAcentral. RNAcentral also lists the same sequence under 3 other names.